GGUUGACCUCGGAUCAGGUAGGGUUACCCGCUGAACUUAAGCAUAUCAAUAAGCGGAGGAAAAGAAACCAACCGGGAUUGCCUCAGUAACGGCGAGUGAAGCGGCAAGAGCUCAAAUUUGAAAUCUGGCCCCCUCGGGGUCCGAGUUGUAAUUUGGAGAGGAUGCUUCGGGCGUGGCCCCCAUCUAAGUGCCCUGGAACGGGCCGUCAUAGAGGGUGAGA
RNAcentral lists this ribosomal RNA (220 nucleotides) under Talaromyces subinflatus. RNAcentral describes it as "partial 28S ribosomal RNA". It matches the Rfam family "Eukaryotic large subunit ribosomal RNA", at positions 1 to 217 of the family's 3401-position model. Lineage: Eukaryota; Fungi; Ascomycota; Eurotiomycetes; Eurotiales; Trichocomaceae. The record is from RNAcentral.